AAUGUGGUGGCGGAAUAGGUAAACGCAAGGCUUGACGUACAAUCACCUUUAAAGGAGUUCGACUCUCCAUAGCUAGUGGUGUGCUUAGUUGUGGGUUCAAAUCCCACUCACAUUU
Molecule: transfer RNA, 115 nt
Filed under: Clostridium acetobutylicum
Lineage: Bacteria; Bacillati; Bacillota; Clostridia; Eubacteriales; Clostridiaceae
Also listed under: 1 other name
Description: tRNA-OTHER
Rfam family: tRNA
About the family: Transfer RNA (tRNA) molecules are approximately 80 nucleotides in length. Their secondary structure includes four short double-helical elements and three loops (D, anti-codon, and T loops). Further hydrogen bonds mediate the characteristic L-shaped molecular structure. tRNAs have two regions of fundamental functional importance: the anti-codon, which is responsible for specific mRNA codon recognition, and the 3' end, to which the tRNAs corresponding amino acid is attached (by aminoacyl-tRNA synthetases). tRNAs cope with the degeneracy of the genetic code in two manners: having more than one tRNA (with a specific anti-codon) for a particular amino acid; and 'wobble' base-pairing, i.e. permitting non-standard base-pairing at the 3rd anti-codon position.
Source: RNAcentral